RNAcentral lists this ribosomal RNA (1400 nucleotides) under Lactiplantibacillus plantarum. RNAcentral describes it as "bacterial SSU rRNA". It matches the Rfam family "Bacterial small subunit ribosomal RNA", at positions 63 to 1433 of the family's 1533-position model. Lineage: Bacteria; Bacillati; Bacillota; Bacilli; Lactobacillales; Lactobacillaceae. The record is from RNAcentral.
CGAACUCUGGUAUUGAUUGGUGCUUGCAUCAUGAUUUACAUUUGAGUGAGUGGCGAACUGGUGAGUAACACGUGGGAAACCUGCCCAGAAGCGGGGGAUAACACCUGGAAACAGAUGCUAAUACCGCAUAACAACUUGGACCGCAUGGUCCGAGCUUGAAAGAUGGCUUCGGCUAUCACUUUUGGAUGGUCCCGCGGCGUAUUAGCUAGAUGGUGAGGUAACGGCUCACCAUGGCAAUGAUACGUAGCCGACCUGAGAGGGUAAUCGGCCACAUUGGGACUGAGACACGGCCCAAACUCCUACGGGAGGCAGCAGUAGGGAAUCUUCCACAAUGGACGAAAGUCUGAUGGAGCAACGCCGCGUGAGUGAAGAAGGGUUUCGGCUCGUAAAACUCUGUUGUUAAAGAAGAACAUAUCUGAGAGUAACUGUUCAGGUAUUGACGGUAUUUAACCAGAAAGCCACGGCUAACUACGUGCCAGCAGCCGCGGUAAUACGUAGGUGGCAAGCGUUGUCCGGAUUUAUUGGGCGUAAAGCGAGCGCAGGCGGUUUUUUAAGUCUGAUGUGAAAGCCUUCGGCUCAACCGAAGAAGUGCAUCGGAAACUGGGAAACUUGAGUGCAGAAGAGGACAGUGGAACUCCAUGUGUAGCGGUGAAAUGCGUAGAUAUAUGGAAGAACACCAGUGGCGAAGGCGGCUGUCUGGUCUGUAACUGACGCUGAGGCUCGAAAGUAUGGGUAGCAAACAGGAUUAGAUACCCUGGUAGUCCAUACCGUAAACGAUGAAUGCUAAGUGUUGGAGGGUUUCCGCCCUUCAGUGCUGCAGCUAACGCAUUAAGCAUUCCGCCUGGGGAGUACGGCCGCAAGGCUGAAACUCAAAGGAAUUGACGGGGGCCCGCACAAGCGGUGGAGCAUGUGGUUUAAUUCGAAGCUACGCGAAGAACCUUACCAGGUCUUGACAUACUAUGCAAAUCUAAGAGAUUAGACGUUCCCUUCGGGGACAUGGAUACAGGUGGUGCAUGGUUGUCGUCAGCUCGUGUCGUGAGAUGUUGGGUUAAGUCCCGCAACGAGCGCAACCCUUAUUAUCAGUUGCCAGCAUUAAGUUGGGCACUCUGGUGAGACUGCCGGUGACAAACCGGAGGAAGGUGGGGAUGACGUCAAAUCAUCAUGCCCCUUAUGACCUGGGCUACACACGUGCUACAAUGGAUGGUACAACGAGUUGCGAACUCGCGAGAGUAAGCUAAUCUCUUAAAGCCAUUCUCAGUUCGGAUUGUAGGCUGCAACUCGCCUACAUGAAGUCGGAAUCGCUAGUAAUCGCGGAUCAGCAUGCCGCGGUGAAUACGUUCCCGGGCCUUGUACACACCGCCCGUCACACCAUGAGAGUUUGUAACACCCAAAGUCGGUGG